RNAcentral lists this ribosomal RNA (497 nucleotides) under uncultured bacterium. RNAcentral's name for it is "partial 16S ribosomal RNA". It matches the Rfam family "Bacterial small subunit ribosomal RNA", at positions 28 to 507 of the family's 1533-position model. The record is from RNAcentral.
GAUGAACGCUGGCGGCGUGCCUAAUACAUGCAAGUCGAGCGAACAGAUGAGGAGCUUGCUCCUCUGACGUUAGCGGCGGACGGGUGAGUAACACGUGGAUAACCUACCUAUAAGACUGGGAUAACUUCGGGAAACCGGAGCUAAUACCGGAUAAUAUAUUGAACCGCAUGGUUCAAUAGUGAAAGACGGUUUUGCUGUCACUUAUAGAUGGAUCCGCGCCGCAUUAGCUAGUUGGUAAGGUAACGGCUUACCAAGGCAACGAUGCGUAGCCGACCUGAGAGGGUGAUCGGCCACACUGGAACUGAGACACGGUCCAGACUCCUACGGGAGGCAGCAGUAGGGAAUCUUCCGCAAAGGGCGAAAGCCUGACGGGGCAACGCCGCGUGAGUGAUGAAGGUCUUCGGAUCGUAAAACUCUGUUAUUAGGGAAGAACAAAUGUGUAAGUAACUAUGCACGUCUUGACGGUACCUAAUCAGAAAGCCACGGCUAACUACGUG